RNAcentral lists this transfer RNA (69 nucleotides) under Ictidomys tridecemlineatus (thirteen-lined ground squirrel). RNAcentral's name for it is "Spermophilus tridecemlineatus (thirteen-lined ground squirrel) tRNA". It matches the Rfam family "tRNA". From Rfam's summary of the family: Transfer RNA (tRNA) molecules are approximately 80 nucleotides in length. The record is from Rfam by way of RNAcentral. Lineage: Eukaryota; Metazoa; Chordata; Mammalia; Rodentia; Sciuridae.
GGGGUUGUGGCUCAGUGGUAGAGCACUCACUUGGCACGUGCGAGGCCCUGGGUUUAAUCCUCAGCUCCA